CUGCGAGUUCGCGGGAGAGUAAGUUAUUGCCAGGGUUUUUUUUUUAUACUUUAAACAUUGAUUUUAUUUUUUAUGUUUUUAGAUGUUCAUGUUUUUGAAUGUUUUAUUCAAAUAAUAUAAAAAAUAAAAUAUAUAUUGACAUGGAUUAAACAAAGAUAUAUAUUAUUCUAUGUUGCAUAAACAAAUUGGCAAAAUAGAGAUGGAAGAUAAAAAUAUGGUCAAAGUAAUAAGAGUCUAUGGUGAAUGCCUAGGA
RNAcentral lists this unclassified non-coding RNA (253 nucleotides) under Borreliella garinii. RNAcentral's name for it is "partial 5S-23S ribosomal RNA intergenic spacer". Lineage: Bacteria; Pseudomonadati; Spirochaetota; Spirochaetia; Spirochaetales; Borreliaceae. The record is from RNAcentral.